UACGUAGGUGGCAAGCGUUGUCCGGAUUUACUGGGCGUAAAGGGCUUGUAGGCGGUUCGUUAAGUCUGGUGUGAAAUCUCCCGGCUCAACCGGGAGGGGUCAUCGGAUACUGGCGGACUAGAGACAGGUAGAGGAAAGCAGAAUUCCCGGUGUAGCGGUGAAAUGCGUAGAUAUCGGAAGGAAUACCAGUGGCGAAGGCGGCUUUCUGGGCCUGUUCUGACGCUGAGGAGCGAAAGCGUGGGGAGCAAACCGG
Molecule: ribosomal RNA, 253 nt
Filed under: uncultured bacterium
Lineage: Bacteria
Description: partial 16S ribosomal RNA
Rfam family: Bacterial small subunit ribosomal RNA
Source: RNAcentral